GACGAACGCUGGCGGCGUGCUUAACACAUGCAAGUCGAACGGAAAGGCGCUGCUUUUGUGGGGCGCUCGAGUGGCGAACGGGUGAGUAACACGCGAGUAUACUGCCCCUGACUUUGUGAUAUCACCUGGAGACUGGGGCGCUUACCCCAUAUAAUCUCCUGCUGCACGGGGUGGGUUGGUAAGUGUCGGCGGUUGGGGAUGGACUCGAGGCUUAUCCGCUUGUUGGUCUGGUAGUUGCUUACCAAGGCUUUGACGGGUAGCCGGCCUGAGAGGGUGACCGGCCACAUUGGGACUGAGGGACGGACCAGACGCCUACGGGAGGCAGCAGUGGGGAAUAUUGCACAGUGGGGGGAAGCCUGAUGCAGCAACGCCGCGUGCGGGAUGACGGCCUUCGGGUUGUAAACCGCUUUCGCCUGUGCCGAAGCGUGAGUGACGGUAAUGGGUAAAGAAGCACCGGCUAACUACGUG
This 468-nucleotide ribosomal RNA is filed under the name uncultured bacterium. RNAcentral's name for it is "partial 16S ribosomal RNA". It matches the Rfam family "Bacterial small subunit ribosomal RNA", at positions 28 to 507 of the family's 1533-position model. The record is from RNAcentral.